AACGAACGCUGGCGGCAUGCCUAACACAUGCAAGUCGAACGAGACCUUCGGGUCUAGUGGCGCACGGGUGCGUAACGCGUGGGAACCUGCCCUUAGGUUCGGAAUAACUCCCCGAAAGGGGUGCUAAUACCGGAUAAUGUCUUCGGACCAAAGAUUUAUCGCCUUUGGAUGGGCCCGCGUUGGAUUAGCUAGUUGGUAGGGUAAAAGCCUACCAAGGCGACGAUCCAUAGCUGGUCUGAGAGGAUGAUCAGCCACACUGGGACUGAGACACGGCCCAGACUCCUACGGGAGGCAGCAGUGGGGAAUAUUGGACAAUGGGCGAAAGCCUAAUCCAGCAAUGCCGCGUGAGUGAUGAAGGCCUUAGGGUUGUAAAGCUCUUUUACCCGGGAUGAUAAUGACAGUACCGGGAGAAUAAGCUCCGGCUAACUCCGUG
RNAcentral lists this ribosomal RNA (433 nucleotides) under uncultured bacterium. RNAcentral describes it as "partial 16S ribosomal RNA". It matches the Rfam family "Bacterial small subunit ribosomal RNA", at positions 29 to 507 of the family's 1533-position model. The record is from RNAcentral.